Molecule: ribosomal RNA, 198 nt
Filed under: Triticum aestivum (bread wheat)
Lineage: Eukaryota; Viridiplantae; Streptophyta; Magnoliopsida; Poales; Poaceae
Description: partial small subunit ribosomal RNA
Source: RNAcentral
AUGGGGUAUUCCUGGAUAGUUGGGAAUGGCAAUAGUGUUAGAUUCUGGGAAGACCAGUGGAUUGGGCAUACCACCCUUGCUACCCAAUAUUGGGACCUGUACAAUGUUGCCAAUGACCAUAAUAUUCCUAUAAGUGAGCCUGGGAUGGCGCUAAUCUCAAAAUUACUUUUAGGAGGUGUUUUACGCACAAAAUGUUAG